Long non-coding RNA from Bombus impatiens (common eastern bumble bee), 3807 nucleotides. RefSeq lists it as uncharacterized. The transcript has 2 exons. Lineage: Eukaryota; Metazoa; Arthropoda; Insecta; Hymenoptera; Apidae. The record is from RefSeq and is a predicted model, not a curated record.
GCAGAUUCUCGCUUUUGUCGAACGUAAUCCUAUUGUAAAUUUUGCGAAACAUUCCAAGAUACAGAUAUUUUAUACGCUAAAUUUUGUGGUGAACACUUUCUACGUUGUGGAUUCAUCAGACCCCAAACUUUCGCGGUAUUCUAUACAGCGAGGGGCGGAAAGAGGUUUAAAAUUGCUAUUUACGUGCUUAAGUAUCAAUAGCUUCUGCAGUAGACACCUUGUAUACUUACUGUAUUAUAUUUACUUAAUGAUCAAGUUAUGUUGUUUCUCGUACUGCUUAUCCUUUGUUAUCUCUUCUCCGCCAUCGUAUAUACAGAGGAACUGUUCAAUUUGUUGCAAUUAUUGCUUGAAUUGAAUAUUCAUAUCGCUAUCUAUAUAGAAAGUCUGACGAUUACUAAAAGAAAAUUACAAGUGUCUGUGUAUCGGAUUUCGAAUAGAAUUAAGUUUCAGUGUGUAAAACCGCAAUAUUCAUAAAUAUACUCGCAAUCUGCUUAGUAUUCAAAAUAAUUUACAUCUUUUUUCCGCAUACGAUGUCACAACGACAGCUUCGUAAGAAACGGAUUGUCUAAUCGAUAAUUAUAAACGUUGCCCAAUUCGCGCAAAUCGUUGACGCAUAAUCCGGCUAUAAUAUAUCCCAUUCUACACUCACAGUGUCUACGAAAUUGCUCGCCUAUGUACGAUUGCGUACAUCCUGCUGCAGGAAAUUCGCGUCACGAGUGCUACGCUAUCCACGCAAUAGUGUGCGUGAAAUGACGACAGGAAUGAUAUCAUUGUACGUCCUCGCGAUUCACCUUGACAAAUAUUAUGUCAACCUCGUUCCGUUGUGUACGAGUAAAUACGCAAUGGGAAUUUCGAGUAAUACGAGUUACUAGGAAGAAAAUUUUAUGCAAUGAAAUGCGAAUAUCAUACGUUCGCCUGUGUGUCGUCAGUCGUGUCGUCGAUGUGCAUAGCAGGUUUUCAAACGUAAUACAUCGUACGAUCCUUUGAAUCAUUUUGAGUCUUAAAAGACUAAUAGAGAGAGACAGAGAGAGAGAGAGAGAGAGAGAGAGAGAGAAAGUUGGUGUAUAUUGAUCUAUAUGAGAUCGUUGCUAAAUACUGAUUUAUAUAAUUUGGAACAUAUGUACUUUGAUCCACGAUAAUAUGAUAAUGAUCGGUUAUCAAGAACAUACAUAUAUUUUCAUCGUAAUGGCUAUCAUUGGAAGAACCUGAAGUUAUGAGUUGUCCUCGAUAUUUAUGAUAAUGCCUCAUUCAUUAGUAUUAUCUACAGAAUUAUUACGAUACUAACGCACGCUGUUGUCACUGUCGUCGAGGUAAUCUUCUGUCGCGAAUAUCGCGCAAAACGUUUUGUUGGAAUUCACUUUGGUAGUAUAAUAUACGUACAAGCAAUGCUCAUUUUUAUUCUGGAAUGUUCGACAAUUCUUUCCACCAUCGCUCUACUAUUCGUUGCCAUUAUCUAAAUUCCAACUCUAAGAUCAGCUUAUAAUUUUCUAUUAACCAUCGACUUAUACCACGCGUUCGAUAAUUUUUCGAUAGCCAUUCGUCACGAUUGUCGAACAUUUUCAAAAUUCUGUCUCUCGAACCAACUCGUACACACGUUCCCGUUAGUCGACAAAUUCCAGCUAUCGAAAUUACCAUCGCUACGUUUAACGUUCUAAAGUCCACGCGAUUAGCCUCAAAGCCACAGUAGAAUCUUCUUCAAAUUUUCCACGAUAAUUCACCCACAUUUCCACUAUUGUCGGACUCAAAACAAACCAAUUCAAACAUACGACGACAAAUGAACACCCACGACGACAGUGGCGUUCGACCUUGAGGCGCUCGAUUCCGCUUAUCGCGGUCGUUUUUCGCGAGGGGUCCUCGCGUUCAGCGAACCUCGUCGCGAUAACCUUAUCGUCGUCCAAUCGGCAGGCUCGCGCUUCCCCUUGGACGCUUAGAUAAACGUUGCACCGUGGUGGCUGCAGAACGAUAGCUCGCUUUCGUUCCCUUCGGGCGGCCGAUGUUGCUCGCGCCAGCUCGCGCGCUCGCCCAGAGCCAUCGUAUUCAGAGAGGAGAGCCGCUGCCGACGGCUACGUAUAUGGGCUUUCAGAUCGGGCCAAGUAGGCGUACGAGGAAUGGAUGCCGUGGCAACGGGCGAAUUAGAGGGACGACACUCUUUUUCCGUGUAUCGCGGGAGGAAGAGGAUGAUAGUUUCAAAGGGGUUCAGAGAAAGAGAAAGAGAGAGGGUCAUUGGCCUCCAAAUCGAAGACUCGCGAACACGUUUUUAGCUUGUCACCGCAGGCCCACGACCGGCUGCUAGGAUUUGCGCGAGAAACACCGUUUAGUGGACUCGUCGAGAGAUUACGCUUCUCUUUAAUUAGUAGCUGCUUCAGCGAACGAGCCACUCAGCUUGGAAUUUUGACAACUUCUUGGUUCUCGGCUCUUGAUUAACUGUGAAUUUAUGCGAGUGUAUCGCUGUCGAGGGAUUUAAAGGGCGAAUUUCGACAUUAUGGCUGUGUCUUGGAGGACGAGGAUGAGGAUUUUCCGAGUAUCGUAUGGAUUUCGUGGUGUGUUCAAUCGUAGGAAAAGAUUUUUAAGAAGUUUCGCCAACGAUCGUUCGCGUUACGACGAUCGAUGUUGGUUCGUGAGAAAGAUAUAAAGGAUUGCAUAUCUAUCCAAGCAAUUGGUAACGUGCUAAUUAUUUUAGCAAAUAGAACGUCCAUCACUAGCUAGCUAUUGACCCGAGAAAUGCAAGAUUUACGUUCCCCGCUCGAUAUCCAUCGCGAUAUCUUCGCAACGAGUCGACCUCGACCGCUCCAUAAAUUAUUGCUAAAUACGAAUAUGUACAUCUACGAUUUUACAAACACCAAGCAACUUCCAAUAAAUCAAUGAUUAAAUUCUUAACCUCAACCUUACAUAACGAGCUCGCCAAAGAGUGCUCGUACUUUAAACCUGUUCCAAACGCCUUACGCUUUUUAAGUUUAAAAUCGCAUUUUAUUUUAAACUUACAAUUAACCAUGGGAAAAGGAUGUGGACCUUUGAACCGUUGAUCUUUGUAUUCAAUUAAUCGCUGACACGCUGCAGCGUGUUACAUUCUCGAGCAAAGUAACUUUUGAAGUUUCGGCCUUCUUCCUCUUGAUCCGCGUAGGCGGCAAGCGCAGAAAGCGAACUCGCGGUGAAGCCACUCGCAGCUUUCUACUCGCAUUUUCUUUGUUUCGAGCGAGCAUUCUACGGGCAACGUGCACCCGCAAAAGGUAGAAGCUUUUUUCGAGCCCGGUCGCAACAGAGAUCCUUUGAAAAACCAAGAUCCGCCUUCAAAUAAAACUACAUUCGAACGAUCUCGUGGCAUUUGACAAACGACUCGUGUUAUCCUCUGUCGUUUUUCUUUUUACGAAUAUUUAAUGAAUCUUCUUAACGAAUCGUGGUUCACCCUUUUACGUCGACACAUGACUGAUUUUCAGGGAAUUGCUGACUAUUCGACGAACAAAGAUUUCCUGGAGUUUCGCCGGAUUUUAUGAGCCGUUGGUUAUUAGGAAAGGUAGAAACGCUGGACAUCGGGGUUCUACGAAAUGUUAUACAAUAAGCAUCCUUUUUGGUAACUGAUGCUUAAUGAAUCAGCAAUGAAUGCCGUCACUGUGAAAGUUUUAGGGUUUCAAAGCCUCCUUGUCCCUGAGAUAUCUUUAUUCGAUAUUUUAAAGUGCCUACGGCUCUCACACGCUACGUAAAAAUACGCAAAAUACAAUAGUAACAAUAUUAAGACGGUAAAAAUAGGAAUAAGAUUCCGCUACCUACGAAUCUUUGAAUGUAAUUAAGAAUAUAUCCAGAGAAGUACAA